This 200-nucleotide ribosomal RNA is filed under the name uncultured bacterium. Its description in RNAcentral is "partial 16S ribosomal RNA". It matches the Rfam family "Bacterial small subunit ribosomal RNA", at positions 1300 to 1500 of the family's 1533-position model. The record is from RNAcentral.
GCAGGCUGCAACUCGCCUGCAUGAAGUCGGAAUUGCUAGUAAUGCAGAUCAGCAUGCUGCGGUGAAUACGUUCCCGGGCCUUGUACACACCGCCCGUCACACCAUGGGAGUCGGUAACACCCGAAGUCGGUAGCCUAACCGUAAGGAGGGCGCCGCCGAAGGUGGGAUUGAUGACUGGGGUGAAGUCGUAACAAGGUACC